AUUGAACGCUGGCGGUAUGCUUAACACAUGCAAGUCAAACGAUGAGAAAGAGCUUGCUCUUUCGAUUAGUGGCGGACGGGUGCGUAACGCGUAGGAAUCUACCUAUUAGUGGGGGACAACUUAGGGAAACUUAAGCUAAUACCGCAUACGCCCUACGGGGGAAAGAAGGGGAUCGCAAGACCUUUUGCUAAUAGAUGAGCCUGCGUAGGAUUAGCUAGUUGGUGGGGUAAAAGCUCACCAAGGCGACGAUCCUUAAGUGGUUUGAGAGAAUGAUCAGUCACACUGGAACUGAGACACGGUCCAGACUCCUGCGGGAGGAAGCAGUGGGGACUAUUGGACAAUGGGCGAAAGCCUGAUCCAGCAAUACCGCGUGUGUGAAGAAGGCCUUAGGGUUGUAAAGCACUUUCAAUUGGAAGGAAAACCUCGAAGCUAAUACCUUCGAGUUUGACAUUACCUUUAGAAGAAGCACCGGCUAACUCCGUGCCAGCCGCCGCAGUAA
Molecule: ribosomal RNA, 499 nt
Filed under: uncultured bacterium
Lineage: Bacteria
Description: partial 16S ribosomal RNA
Rfam family: Bacterial small subunit ribosomal RNA
Source: RNAcentral